CCUCUGCAAAUUUUUCAAACUUUUAUGCUCUGCCACCUCUUGUAUGCUGCUUAGAAAUUUCUUCCACCAGAUAUCCUAAAUUAUCUCUCUCAAGUUCAGAGUUCCACAGAUCUCCAGGGUAAGAGCAAAAUGCCACCAAUCUUUUUGCUAAAGCAUAGCAAUAAAGACCUCCAGGUCUCAGUAAGUUUCUUGUCACCAUCUGAGACCACCUCAGCCUGGACUUCAUUGUCCACCUCAUUAUCAGCAUUUUGGUUAAAGCCAUUCAACAGUCUCUAGGAAGUUCAAAACUUUCCCACUUCUUUCUGUCUUCUUCUGAGCCCUCCAAACUAUUCCAACCUCUGCCCGUUACCCAUUUCCAAAGUUGCUUCCACAUUUUCAAGUAUCUUUAUAGCAGUACUCCACUCUACCAGUACAAAUUUACUGUAUGUGUUCUUACCCACACUGCUAUAAAGAUACUACCCGAGACUGGGUAAUUUAUAAGAAGAAAAAGGUUUAAUUGGCUCACAGUUCUGCAUGACUGGAAAGGGUUUAGGAAACUCAGAAUCAUGGCAGAAGGUGAAGGGCACACAAGACACAUUUUACAUGGCAACAGGAAAGAGUGAGAGUAGAGAGGGAUGAGCCCCUUAUAAAACCAUUGAUUUCAUGAGAACUUACUUACUAUCAUGAGAACAGAAUGGGGGAACCAUCCCCAUGAUCCAGACACCUCCCAGCAGGUCCCUUCCUCAACACCUGGGGAUUACAAUGCAGAUUACAAUUCGAAAUGAGAUUUGGGUGGGGACACAGAGCCAAACCAUAUCAAAGACUACUACAGAAUUUCUUAUUUUGAAAAUUAUAAAAUAUAUGGAAUUUGAAAGGUACCCUCUGAUUUUAACCUAUCUAAAAUUCUAGUGAUAAAAGUUAAUAGCCCAUAAAUAUGUGAGUUAAAAUAGCAUUCCAGAAUGUUUAUGCAUAUGUGAAAUCUAACUUAUGUCGAUAUAAUAUCCAAAUAAUAGAUGUGCUUUGCUAUAAAAUGUGUACUGAUGCUGUAUAUUUAAAUGAUUAGUAAUAUUUAACAUUAUCUGAAAGUUCUCCUAGUCACUCUUUAAUAAAUGCAUUCACUCUGUGUAUAGAUGGCAUACACAUCUACUUGUAGCACUUAGAAGACUGUUCAUUUUUAAUAAAUUAUUACCUAGUAUGCUAUUAUUUAUAUAUAUUUAUUUAUAGCUUAUUAUUAUAUUUCUACUAAGAGUUUUUUUUUUUUAAUAAAUCAGAGUUUGUUAGCUAGACCUCCAUUUUUACCUCCAGGUUUUGUCAUUGUCUUUCUAAUAGCAUGUGAAAUCCAGGAAAGUGAACAUAAACUUCUCACUUCAACAGGUGAUUAAAGCAGAAGGGCCAACAGAAAUAGCCCAUUUCUCCAACUCUUCAGAUACACUAAUAUCUCCUAACUUGCUCAGCACAACAUGCACACAUUUUAUGAAUGAAACAAAGUGUUCUCAAAGGGUGGAUAGAAACAACAACUUCCUACUGGUCUCUGGGUCACCAGCUUCAAGGCAACCAGUGAGCGCUUGUCCUCCCCUGCACACAUAAUGACUUUUGGCACGUAAGUGGAAGGAACUUGCCCUGUCUUGGAUGAGACUUUGGACUGUGGACUUCUGAGUUAAUGCUGAAAUGUGUUAAGACUUUGGGAGACUCUUGGGAAGGCAUGAUUUGUUUUGAAAUGUGAAGACAUUAGAUUUGGGAGGAGCCAUGGGUGGAAUAAUACGAUUUGGCUGUUCCUCCCAAAUCUCACCUUGAAUUCUGACAUGUUGUGGGAGGGACCUGGUGGGAGGUGAUUUAAUCAUGAGGCAGGUCUUUCCCAUGCUGGUCUCAUGAUAGUGAAUAAGUCUUACGAGACUGAUGAUGGUUUUAAAAUGGGGAGUUUCCCUGCACAAGCUCUAUUCUCUUGUCUGCCGCCAUGUCAGACAGGCCUUUUACCUUCUGCCAUGAGUAAGAGGCCUCCCCAGCCACGUUGAAUUGUAAGUCUGAUAAACCUCUUUCUUUUGUAAAUUGCCCAGUCUCAGGUAUAUUUUUAUCAGCAGCAUGAAAACAGACUAAUACAGUCACCCUCAUAAGUUAGCAAAUUACUUAGCUGCCUCAUCUUCAUGCCCUGGGGAUCUGUGGAAGCUUUACCUUAAGAGUGAUGACUUAGGGUAUCUAGUGUAAGAAAUUUCUAAGCAGCACAGAAUUCAAGGUGUGGCCUGGCUUCUUCAAACCAGCAUACUCUCAGAUGCAGGAAUGAAUAAAUUACUUAAAAUUGGAAGUUAUAUUAAUAUUAAUAUUUACCAGGGAGGCAGAGGGUGAAAGUUUGGAAAAUUUACAGCCUAGUCCUGUGGCAAAGAAAAGAGAAACUUUUUAGGAGAGGGAUCCAAGCAGUCUACAGAACAACCACUUGUUAAAGAGAUUUGCAUGUGUAAAAGGGAGCAACUGCUUAUAGCCAAGACAAUGGGAAAAAGUCUGGAAGGCAUUUCAGAGAUCUAAUAGGCAGCACCUCUCAUCACAGGCCCAGAGGCCUAGGAAGACUAAAUGGUUUCAGGGGAGAGGCCCAGGGCCCCACUGCCCUGCUCAGCCUUAGGACAUACUCCCCCGAUCCUGAUUGCUCCAGCCACAACUCAAAGGGGCCCCAGGACAACUCAAGUCACUAUUCCAGAGGAUGCAAGCUGUAAGCAUUGAUGGCUUCCAUGUGGAGUUAAGCCUGGGAACAUCCAAAGUGCAAGAGUGAAGGAGGCUUGGCAGUCUCUGCCUAGAUUUCAGAGAAUGUAAGAGAACACCUGGCUGCUCAUGAAGAAGCCUUCUACUGGGGUGAAACUCUCACAGAGUACCUCUACUAGGUCAGUGCCAAGGGGAAAUGUAGGGUUAGAGUUUCCACACAGAAACUCUACUGGGGCAUUGGAUUCCUAAUGGCUCAGUCCUGUCCUCAAGAUAGUGAGUUCUCAUGAGAUCUGGUUGAUUAAAAGUGUGUGACACCUCUCCCCCUGACUACUGGUCUUACCAUGUGAUAUGACUGUUCCUGCUUCACCUUCAACAAUGAGUAAAAGCUCCCUGAGUCCUCCCAGAAGCCAAGCAGGUGCCAGUGCCACAUUUCCUGUAUAGCCUACAGAACUGUGAGUCAAUUAAGCCUAUUUUCUUUAUAAAUAUCCCAGUCUCAGGUACUUCCUUAUAGCAAUGUAAGAACAACCUAACAUACCACACUGGUAAUUUUCAGUUUAUUCAACAGUGUUUUUCUUUAAUACUAAUAUCUGUAUCAGAAAUAUGUCAUAAUCAUCUAAAUUGUAUGCUAAUAAAAUUAACAUUUAUUUUUACUUUGCAUUUGUUUUCAUGCACUUAUUAUCAAUAACUAGAAAAAGACAUUUACAAUAAACAGUUUGGGUGUAGUAUUAGAAGUCUAAUCAUUCAAUAAUUCUUAAAGAUAUUUAGAAGUCUGCUUCAUUGUUACUGAAGAUAUCACUAAAACUGUAUUAUUGUUGGCCAAACAUGGCUGAAAGUCCAAAAAGAGUAGAUCAUUUGUUGUGCUUUUGAAAGAAAUUGAAUGUGACAUUUUGCUGGACUAUAAUAAUACUCAUAAUAAAAAAAUACAUUAGCUGUGUUCUAUACAUACAUUAUUAAUUAUCUGUUGAUAGUCAAUAAUAUUCUAUAUAAUGUUAACUAUAGUUUUAUUUACCAGUUCAAUAAAGAACAACCUCUUUUACUAUACUGUUAAUUAUAGUCUCUAUAAUGUUAGCUAUAUUUUAUUUACCAUUUUCUACACUUAAGUUACACUGAAGUAAAAGUCUUAUUGCAUUUUUAUUUUUAUUUUUUAAUUUAUUUAAUUAAUUUUUUUGGGAGACAGAAUCUCACUUCAUCAUCUGUGCUGGAGUGCAGUGGUGCAAUCUUGGCUCACUGCAACCUCUGCCUCCUUGGUUCAAGUGAUUCUCGAGCCUCAGCCUCCCAAGUAACUGGGAUUACAGGCAUGCGCCACUAAGCCCAGCUAAUUUUUGUAUUUUUAGUAGAGAUGGCUUCCCCGCAUUGGCUGGGCUGGUCUUGAACUCCUGGCCUCAAGUGAUCCAUCCUCCUCGGCCACCCAAAGCACUGGAAUUACAGGCAUGAGCCUCUGCACCUGGCUGCAUUUUUUUUAUUUUCAGCUUUCAUUCAUCAGGAUAUAGGAAGUGAUAUCUGUUUUAUAGGGAUAAUACCACAUCAGCUGAAGAGCUACUUAUUACAGAAAAAAUGAUUGUACCUUUUCAAAACUUAAAGAAAUUUGUAGUCAACAUUUUGAAGGAAGGUCAGCAUGACAUUAAAUAACAAAAUUUGUAGUUUCAUUGAUUUGUUUAUUUUUAUUUAAUUGAAUGAUUUACAUGUUGUUUAGAUGCUAAACAGAUAAAGUUUAAGAUCUUAUAUUUAAUUUGAAAUAGAAUGCAUUGUGUAAUUUCAUUGUAAACCUGGAAUUUAUAAAUCAUAGCUCCUAUGUUUUUAAAAUAAUUUAUUUACUGAUGUUCAAAGGACAGAACUGUACACAAUGUGCUGUGAAAUUUGCUCCAAUAUUUUCUUUCUCAAUUUGAAUAAAGCAAUCUUCUGAAGGUGCUAUGAAAACAUAAUGACUAGUGUUACAUUUUAUAAUAUAGUUUGUAAUUUUGCAUUAGCUCAUAUACUGAAGUUUAAAUGACAAUUAUCAGAGAAUGUAUUAAGUAUACAAUCAUUAUUGGGAUCUAAGUUCUUUUUGCUUGGAUGUUAGGUUAGCAGUCUCCAAAAUUAAUAAAUAUGUCAUUUAUUAGUGCAAGGUGUAUUUUUAUUAAAUUGCUACAGACUUUUGUAUGUUUUGUGUGUUGGUUUUACACAUAAGACUAACUAUUCAAAUGGAUUUUUCUCCAGAACACUUGUAUCACAUAUCCAUUUAUUUCUCUUUAUCAUGUUUUCUGUGGUCAAAGUUUACUUUUUGAGAAGUUUUUGCCUUAUAGACAUAAGAUUAAGGAAGUUUACAACUUGAUGACAAUUGCAUGCUUGCUAAAUUAGUUGCAUAAUUGUUUUGCACAGGAAAUUGUAUGUGCAAAUACUUUGAUUAGAUUCACAUUCUUCUGGCUAAGUUCUCAAAAUAUAUCAUUGAAAAAGACAUUUACAUUUAAAUGUACCCCUGCUACAGCUACA
RNAcentral lists this long non-coding RNA (5136 nucleotides) under Homo sapiens (human). RNAcentral describes it as "HSALNT0057331". Lineage: Eukaryota; Metazoa; Chordata; Mammalia; Primates; Hominidae. The record is from RNAcentral.